AAACUUUUACACUAUGUUAACGACUUAUGAGACGAUAUUAAGUAUAUUGUGGAAAAGAACAUCAUACUUCGACAUGUGUAAUAUAAUUUUAUAUCUAAAAGUAAUAUAGACAUAAUUUGAAGUUUCAAAGGCGUACUUAUUCAAAAGAAUAGAGAAUUAUAAACAGAAAGGUUAAUGAAGCUGAAAACAAUUUCUUUGGUGUUCUUCCGUUAAUUCGGGGUAUUCAUCAUGUGAAGGUUCGUCUUAUUCCAGUAUACUUAAAAAUACAUCAACAUUAACGGUGACAUUAAAAGAACAGGAAACGUUUCUGAAUUAUUUAGAAAACAAGAACCAAAUCAAGAUGGACUAUUACAAGUAUUCAAACAGAUCUCGUUAUACUGACAAGAAUUAUUAUUUCACAAGACAUGACGAAAGCAGGCACGGGGACUAUGAUAUAUUGCGAAUAAACCACGACGAGACUGCAAGACAGCGUGGAGAAUACAUUGAAGACUCGGAUGAUUAUGAAGAUUAUGGGAGGGAUCGAAAACCUCGUACACGUGCUUCGCGUGAAAGAAAACAACACGUGCGGGUAUUAAUAACGCAUUGGUCUGGAUGAAUAGGACAGGGCGUCUGUGACAAUCUACGUCUGGCAGUACAAGACAACUAUGAAGAAUCCGAUGUGUCGUUUGAGCAGAGGAAAGGCGAACUGAACUCUUUUGAAGUGUAUAUUAAUGAAAGCUUGUUGUAUUCAAGACUUCGUGACGGAGGAUAUCCAUACGAAGAUGAUAUGUUGCUAGCAAUCGAAAAGGCCAGACGUGGACAUGCAAUCAAACAAGUCCGGCACGGAAAGACUAUUUUCUGCACGAUUUUAUAGGAUUAAUGAUGUCACAGAUGCCCAGAGUGAAAACUUAAAACGGUUAAGGUUGCGGAUUGUUUUAACACAGUCCUGAAAAAAACUAGGACACAUUUCAAAUUAACAAAUGGUCGCCAUUUCCUUCUAAAACAUCAGUCAGUGUGUAUAUGCUUAAGAAUGGCAAUACCUGCGUUUUUAAAAAGGGGCCGUCUUAAAGAACAACGUCUCGGCUUUACAGUAUAAGAAGAUCCGUUAUAGAUAAUUUUACUAAAACAGAAAACAAUAUACCUCAUAUAUGUAUUUUAUCGAUUUGCAGUUAAAAUAAAGAUGGGACCAGACGACUCCCGUGUGUCAGUAACAACCUACAUGUAUAGAAUAGAACCUGUUACUCAUUCUUUUACACUUUGAAUAUAAAACUUUGGUAAAUGCAGGCUCGAGACAUUGUGUGAACGUGUUUUAAAACAUGAAAGGGUGAUAUAUGAUAGCAUGAUAAUAAGUUUGCAUGGCUUUUAAUGACGUUUUACGUCUAAAUUUCCAAGGACGUGAGACAGAUAUGUGCUAAUGGAAAACUUAUGCUAAUGUUAUGUAUAUGAUUCCACACAUCUUUUCUAUAACAUUUGCAUUUUUAUUGUAAAUAAACCCUAUUCAAUGCAUCUAUAUCUGGCAUAUGUUUAUAAUCUUUUAAAUGUACUAUCUUGUUAUAUCUUGAUCUGAAAAUUAAUAAAAGCUGAAACAAGUUAA
Molecule: long non-coding RNA, 1573 nt
Organism: Mercenaria mercenaria
Lineage: Eukaryota; Metazoa; Mollusca; Bivalvia; Venerida; Veneridae
Exons: 4
Source: RefSeq, a predicted model, not a curated record